RNAcentral lists this ribosomal RNA (120 nucleotides) under Castor canadensis (American beaver). The record is from RNAcentral. Lineage: Eukaryota; Metazoa; Chordata; Mammalia; Rodentia; Castoridae.
GUCUAUGGCCAUACCACCCUGAAUGCAUCCUAUCUCGUCUGAUCUCAGAAGCUAAGCAAGGUCGGGCCUGAUUAGUACUUGGAUGGAAGACAGAUCUUCAGAAGAGACUGAUCAGAGACA